UACGGAGGAUGCAAGCGUUAUCCGGAUUCAUUGGGUUUAAAGGGUGCGUAGGCGGGCUAUUAAGUCAGUGGUGAAAUCCUGCAGCUUAACUGCAGAACUGCCGUUGAUACUGAUAGUCUUGAGUUUGGUUAAGGUAGGCGGAAUGUGUAAUGUAGCAGUGAAAUGCUUAGAUAUUACACAGAACACCAAUUGCGUAGGCAGCUUACUGAGCCGACACUGACGCUGAGGCACGAAAGCGUGGGGAUCAAACA
Molecule: ribosomal RNA, 251 nt
Filed under: uncultured prokaryote
Description: partial 16S ribosomal RNA
Rfam family: Bacterial small subunit ribosomal RNA
Source: RNAcentral